UUAAGCGACUAAGCGUACACGGUGGAUGCCCUGGCAGUCAGAGGCGAUGAAGGACGUGCUAAUCUGCGAAAAGCGUCGGUAAGGUGAUAUGAACCGUUACAGCCGGCGAUGUCCGAAUGGGGAAACCCAGUGCAAUUCGUUGCACUAUCGUUUGAUGAAUACAUAGUCAAACGAGGCGAACCGGGGGAACUGAAACAUCUAAGUACCCCGAGGAAAAGAAAUCAACCGAGAUUCCCCCAGUAGCGGCGAGCGAACGGGGAGCAGCCCGGAGUCUGAAUCAGCUUGUGUGUUAGUGGAAGCGUCUGGAAAGUCGCAGGGUACAGGGUGAUACUCCCGUACACUAAAACGCACAGGUUGUGAACUCGAAGAGUAGGGCGGGACACGUGGUAUCCUGUCUGAAUAUGGGGGGACCAUCCUCCAAGGCUAAAUACUCCUGACUGACCGAUAGUGAACCAGUACCGUGAGGGAAAGGCGAAAAGAACCCCGGCGAGGGGAGUGAAAAAGAACCUGAAACCGUGUACGUACAAGCAGUAGGAGCCCACUAGUUGGGUGACUGCGUACCUUUUGUAUAAUGGGUCAGCGACUUAUAUUCUGUAGCAAGGUUAACCGUAUAGGGGAGCCGCAGGGAAACCGAGUCUUAACUGGGCGUUAAGUUGCAGGGUAUAGACCCGAAACCCGGUGAUCUAGCCAUGGGCAGGUUGAAGGUUGGGUAACACUAACUGGAGGACCGAACCGACUAAUGUUGAAAAAUUAGCGGAUGACUUGUGGCUGGGGGUGAAAGGCCAAUCAAACCGGGAGAUAGCUGGUUCUCCCCGAAAGCUAUUUAGGUAGCGCCUCGUGAAUUCAUCUUCGGGGGUAGAGCACUGUUUCGGCUAGGGGGUCAUCCCGACUUACCAACCCGAUGCAAACUACGAAUACCGAAGAAUGUUAUCACGGGAGACACACGGCGGGUGCUAACGUCCGUCGUGAAGAGGGAAACAACCCAGACCGCCAGCUAAGGUCCCAAAGUCAUGGUUAAGUGGGAAACGAUGUGGGAAGGCCCAGACAGCCAGGAUGUUGGCUUAGAAGCAGCCAUCAUUUAAAGAAAGCGUAAUAGCUCACUGGUCGAGUCGGCCUGCGCGGAAGAUGUAACGGGGCUAAACCAUGCACCGAAGCUGCGGCAGCGACACUAUGUGUUGUUGGGUAGGGGAGCGUUCUGUAAGCCGUUGAAGGUGGCCUGUGAGGGUUGCUGGAGGUAUCAGAAGUGCGAAUGCUGACAUAAGUAACGAUAAUGCGGGUGAAAAACCCGCACGCCGGAAGACCAAGGGUUCCUGUCCAACGUUAAUCGGGGCAGGGUGAGUCGACCCCUAAGGCGAGGCCGAAAGGCGUAGUCGAUGGGAAACAGGUUAAUAUUCCUGUACUCGGUGUUACUGCGAAGGGGGACGGAGAAGGCUAUGUUGGCCGGGCGACGGUUGUCCCGGUUUAAGCAUGUAGGCGGAUGUUCCAGGUAAAUCCGGAACGUCACUAACGCUGAGGUGUGAUGACGAGGCACUACGGUGCUGAAGUGACAAAUGCCCUGCUUCCAGGAAAAGCCUCUAAGCAUCAGGUAACAUCAAAUCGUACCCCAAACCGACACAGGUGGUCAGGUAGAGAAUACCAAGGCGCUUGAGAGAACUCGGGUGAAGGAACUAGGCAAAAUGGUGCCGUAACUUCGGGAGAAGGCACGCUGAUGGUAGGUGAAGCGACUUGCUCGUGGAGCUGAAAUCAGUCGAAGAUACCAGCUGGCUGCAACUGUUUAUUAAAAACACAGCACUGUGCAAACACGAAAGUGGACGUAUACGGUGUGACGCCUGCCCGGUGCCGGAAGGUUAAUUGAUGGGGUUAUCCGUAAGGAGAAGCUCUUGAUCGAAGCCCCGGUAAACGGCGGCCGUAACUAUAACGGUCCUAAGGUAGCGAAAUUCCUUGUCGGGUAAGUUCCGACCUGCACGAAUGGCGUAAUGAUGGCCAGGCUGUCUCCACCCGAGACUCAGUGAAAUUGAACUCGCUGUGAAGAUGCAGUGUACCCGCGGCAAGACGGAAAGACCCCGUGAACCUUUACUAUAGCUUGACACUGAACACUGGUCCUUGAUGUGUAGGAUAGGUGGGAGGCUUUGAAGUGUGGACGCCAGUCUGCAUGGAGCCAUCCUUGAAAUACCACCCUUUAAUGGCUGGUGUUCUAACGUGGGCCCGUAAUCCGGGUUGCGGACAGUGUCUGGUGGGUAGUUUGACUGGGGCGGUCUCCUCCUAAAGAGUAACGGAGGAGCACGAAGGUCAGCUAAUCCUGGUCGGACAUCAGGAGGUUAGUGCAAUGGCAUAAGCUGGCUUGACUGCGAGCGUGACGGCGCGAGCAGGUGCGAAAGCAGGUCAUAGUGAUCCGGUGGUUCUGAAUGGAAGGGCCAUCGCUCAACGGAUAAAAGGUACUCCGGGGAUAACAGGCUGAUACCGCCCAAGAGUUCAUAUCGACGGCGGUGUUUGGCACCUCGAUGUCGGCUCAUCACAUCCUGGGGCUGAAGUAGGUCCCAAGGGUAUGGCUGUUCGCCAUUUAAAGUGGUACGCGAGCUGGGUUUAGAACGUCGUGAGACAGUUCGGUCCCUAUCUGCCGUGGGCGCUGGAGAAUUGAGGGGGGCUGCUCCUAGUACGAGAGGACCGGAGUGGACGCAUCACUGGUGUUCGGGUUGUCAUGCCAAUGGCAUUGCCCGGUAGCUAAAUGCGGAAGAGAUAAGUGCUGAAAGCAUCUAAGCACGAAACUUGCCCCGAGAUGAGUUCUCCCUGACCCUUUAAGGGUCCUGAAGGAACGUUGAAGACGACGACGUUGAUAGGCCGGGUGUGUAAGCGCAGCGAUGCGUUGAGCUAACCGGUACUAAUGAACCGUGAGGCUUAACCUU
Molecule: ribosomal RNA, 2903 nt
Filed under: Klebsiella michiganensis
Lineage: Bacteria; Pseudomonadati; Pseudomonadota; Gammaproteobacteria; Enterobacterales; Enterobacteriaceae
Description: bacterial LSU rRNA
Rfam family: Bacterial large subunit ribosomal RNA
Source: RNAcentral